AGUGAACGCUGGCGGUAGGCCUAACACAUGCAAGUCGAACGGCAGCACAGUAAGAGCUUGCUCUUACGGGUGGGGAGUGGCGGACGGGUGAGGAAUACAUCGGAAUCUACAUUUUCGUGGGGGAUAACGUAGGGAAACCUACGCUAAUACCGCAUACGACCUACGGGGGAAAGCAGGGGAUCUUCGGACCUUGCGCGAUUGAAUGAGCCGAUGUCGGAUUAGCUAGUUGGCGGGGUAAAGGCCCACCAAGGCGACGAUCCGUAGCUGGUCUGAGAGGAUGGUCAGCCACACUGGAAGUGAGACACGCUCCAUACUCCUGCGGGACGCAGCAGUGGGGAAUAUUGGACAAUGGGCGCAAGCCUGAUCCAGCCAUACCGCGUGGGUGAAGAAGGCCUUCGGGUUGUAAAGCCCUUUUGUUGGGAAAGAAAAGCAGCAGGUUAAUACCCCGCUGUUCUGACGGUACCCAAAGAAUAAGCACCGGCUAACUUCGUG
This 492-nucleotide ribosomal RNA is filed under the name uncultured bacterium. RNAcentral's name for it is "partial 16S ribosomal RNA". It matches the Rfam family "Bacterial small subunit ribosomal RNA", at positions 29 to 507 of the family's 1533-position model. The record is from RNAcentral.